UACAGAGGGUGCGAGCGUUGUCCGGAAUCACUGGGCGUAAAGGGCGCGUAGGUGGCGGGCCAAGUCAGUGGUGAAAGCUCGAUGCUCAACAUCGAGUCGGCCACUGAUACUGGUUUGCUUGAGCACUGUAGAGGCAGAUGGAAUUCCGGGUGUAGCGGUGGAAUGCGUAGAGAUCCGGAAGAACACCGGUGGCGAAGGCGGUCUGCUGGGCAGUUGCUGACACUGAGGCGCGACAGCGUGGGGAGCAAACAGG
RNAcentral lists this ribosomal RNA (253 nucleotides) under uncultured bacterium. Its description in RNAcentral is "partial 16S ribosomal RNA". It matches the Rfam family "Bacterial small subunit ribosomal RNA", at positions 524 to 776 of the family's 1533-position model. The record is from RNAcentral.